Molecule: ribosomal RNA, 492 nt
Filed under: uncultured bacterium
Lineage: Bacteria
Description: partial 16S ribosomal RNA
Rfam family: Bacterial small subunit ribosomal RNA
Source: RNAcentral
AGUGAACGCUGGCGGUAGGCCUAACACAUGCAAGUCGAACGGCAGCACAGUAAGAGCUUGCUCUUACGGGUGGCGAGUGGCGGACGGUUGAGGAAUACAUCGGAAUCUACUUUUUCGUGGGGGCUAACGUAGGGAAACUUACGCUAAUACCGCAUACGACCUACGGGUGAAAGCAGCGGAUCUUCGGACCUUGCGCGAUUGAAUGAGCCGAUGUCGGAUUAGCUAGUUGGCGGGGUAAAGGCCCACCAAGGCGACGAUCCGUAGCUGGUCUGAGAGGAUGAUCAGCCACACUGGAACUGAGACACGGUCCAGACUCCUACGGGAGGCAGCAGUGGGGAAUAUUGGACAAUGGGCGCAAGCCUGAUCCAGCCAUACCGCGUGGGUGAAGAAGGCCUUCGGGUUGUAAAGCCCUUUUGUUGGGAAAGAAAAGCAGCAGGUUAAUACCCCGCUGUUCUGACGGUACCCACAGAAUAAGCACCGGCUAACUUCGUG